UCAAUCGUGCAUAUGUGACCCGGAAGC
Molecule: small RNA, 27 nt
Filed under: Bombyx mori (domestic silkworm)
Lineage: Eukaryota; Metazoa; Arthropoda; Insecta; Lepidoptera; Bombycidae
Description: ovarian small RNA-24841
Source: RNAcentral